RNAcentral lists this ribosomal RNA (429 nucleotides) under Bacteroidota bacterium. RNAcentral's name for it is "Bacteroidetes bacterium partial 16S ribosomal RNA". It matches the Rfam family "Bacterial small subunit ribosomal RNA", at positions 355 to 776 of the family's 1533-position model. The record is from RNAcentral. Lineage: Bacteria; Pseudomonadati; Bacteroidota.
UAGGGAAUCUUCGGCAAUGGGGGGAACCCUGACCGAGCAACGCCGCGUGAGUGAAGAAGGUUUUCGGAUCGUAAAGCUCUGUUGUUAAGGAAGAACGAGUGUGAGAAUGGAAAGUUCAUGCUGUGACGGUACUUAACCAGAAAGGGACGGCUAACUACGUGCCAGCAGCCGCGGUAAUACGUAGGUCCCGAGCGUUGUCCGGAUUUAUUGGGCGUAAAGCGAGCGCAGGCGGUUAGAAAAGUCUGAAGUGAAAGGCAGUGGCUCAACCAUUGUAGGCUUUGGGAACUGUUUAACUUGAGUGCAGAAGGGGAGAGUGGAAUUCCAUGUGUAGCGGUGAAAUGCGUAGAUAUAUGGAGGAACACCGGUGGCGAAAGCGGCUCUCUGGUCUGUAACUGACGCUGAGGCUCGAAAGCGUGGGGAGCGAACAGG